UACGUAGGUGGCAAGCGUUAUCCGGAAUUAUUGGGCGUAAAGAGCGCGUAGGUGGUUGAUUAAGUCUGAUGUGAAAGCCCACGGCUUAACCGUGGAGGGUCAUUGGAAACUGGUCGACUUGAGUGCAGAAGAGGGAAGUGGAAUUCCAUGUGUAGCGGUGAAAUGCGUAGAUAUAUGGAGGAACACCAGUGGCGAAGGCGACUCUCUGGUCUGUAACUGACGCUGAGGCUCGAAAGCGUGGGGAGCAAACAGGAUUAGAUA
RNAcentral lists this ribosomal RNA (261 nucleotides) under uncultured prokaryote. RNAcentral describes it as "partial 16S ribosomal RNA". It matches the Rfam family "Bacterial small subunit ribosomal RNA", at positions 524 to 784 of the family's 1533-position model. The record is from RNAcentral.